UCGAGUUUUGAAUGGGUUGUUGCUGGCCUCAUACGGGGCAUGUGCACGCCUGACUUCAUCCACUCUUCAACCUCUGUGCACUUAUUGUAGGCUAGCGUGAAAGGUCGCAUUCAUUUGCGGCUGGAGCCUGUCUACGCUUUACUACAAACGCUUCAAUUAUAGAAUGUUUAUCUGCGUAUAACGCAUUUAUAUA
Molecule: unclassified non-coding RNA, 193 nt
Filed under: soil metagenome
Description: partial internal transcribed spacer 1
Source: RNAcentral